Molecule: ribosomal RNA, 435 nt
Filed under: Hydroporus nigrita
Lineage: Eukaryota; Metazoa; Arthropoda; Insecta; Coleoptera; Dytiscidae
Description: partial 16S ribosomal RNA
Rfam family: Bacterial large subunit ribosomal RNA (bases 1-147)
Source: RNAcentral
GUCCUUUUGUUAAAAAUAAUUUAAGGUCUAACCUGCCCAUUGAUUAAAUUAAAAGGCCGCAGUAAUUUGACUGUGCAAAGGUAGCAUAAUCAUUAGUUUUUUAAUUAAAAGCUUGUAUGAAUGGUUGGACGAGAUAAAAUCUGUCUCUUUAUAAAAAAUAGAAUUUAAUUUUUAAGCAAAAAAGCUUAAAUUUAAAUAAAAGACGAGAAGACCCUAUAGAUCUUUAUAUAACUUUUUUUAGUAUUAAUAAAGAAAAUUUUAUUUAUUAAUUGAUUUUAUAUUUUAUUGGGGUAAUAAAAAGAUUAAAUAAAUUCUUUAAAAUUUAACAAAAAUUAUUGAUUAUAUGAUCCAUUAUUAGUGAUUAUAAGAUUAAGUUACCUUAGGGAUAACAGCGUAAUUUUUUUAGAGAGUUCUUAUCAAUAAAAAAGUUUGCGA